UUUGGUGAUGAUGGCAGAGGGGAACCACGCGUUCCCAUCUCGAACACGACCGUUAAGCCCUCUAGCGCCAAUGGUACUUGAACCGCAGGGUUCUGGGAGAGUAGGACAUUGCCAAGC
RNAcentral lists this ribosomal RNA (117 nucleotides) under Paenibacillus agricola. Lineage: Bacteria; Bacillati; Bacillota; Bacilli; Caryophanales; Paenibacillaceae. The record is from RNAcentral.